CAACCCGGAGAGGUCGUUCAAUACUGCGUGUCUAGAGGGUGUCACAGGGGAGUGGAAUUUCCGGAUUAGCGGUAAAAUGCGCGGAUAUCGGAAAGAACACCAAUGUGCGAAUGCUGGUCCCUGGGGCAUACCUGACGCUAAUAGACGAAAGCUAUGGUGAGCGAACAGUGAUUAGAUGACCCUGGUAGUCCUAGCCCUAGACGAUGGAUGCUGGAUGUGGGACCAUAGCGCUCCGUGUCGACGCUGAACGCAUUAAGCAUCCCGCCUGGGGACUACGGCCGCAAGGUUGAAAACUCGAUACGAAUUGCCGGGACUGCGCACAAGCAGCGGAGCCUGUGGUCGCAAUUCGAUGCUACACGAAGAACGCACCAUGGGUUUGACAUCUAGGUGAUAGCAGACGUGAAAUCGGAGCGACCUCUCGGGGAGCCUAGACAGCUCCUGCAUGGCCGUCGUACAGCUCGUCCUGAGAGGUGUCGGGUUAAGUCCCGUAAUGAGCGCAACCGUUGCCCUCCGUUAUACGUGUCAGAGGGGACUGCCGGCGGUAAGCCGGAGGAAGGUGGGGAUGACGUCAGAGUCAGCAUGGCAUUUAUAUCCAGGGCUACACACACGCUACAAUGGCCAGUACAAAGGGCAGCGAAGCCGCGAGCUGGAGCGCAUCCCAACAAAGC
This 668-nucleotide ribosomal RNA is filed under the name uncultured organism. RNAcentral's name for it is "bacterial SSU rRNA". It matches the Rfam family "Bacterial small subunit ribosomal RNA", at positions 610 to 1282 of the family's 1533-position model. The record is from RNAcentral.